GUUCGCUCGUCCAGGACAGAUCCUAAAAGUGGAAGGAUGCAGGGAAGAUGAACGUGGCCCCUGUGCGAGGGUGAUGUGCAAAUUAGCAAAACGUUCCACAUUUUG
Panthera tigris altaica (Amur tiger) is the source of this 105-nucleotide small nuclear RNA. NCBI's taxonomy places the organism in Eukaryota, Metazoa, Chordata, Mammalia, Carnivora, Felidae. The record is from Ensembl.